GGCUCCAUAGUGUAGUGGAUAGCACGUCUGCUUUACACAGAGAAGGUCCUGGGUUCGUGCCCCAAGUGGACUCA
This 74-nucleotide transfer RNA is filed under the name Pteropus alecto (black flying fox). It matches the Rfam family "tRNA". From Rfam's summary of the family: Transfer RNA (tRNA) molecules are approximately 80 nucleotides in length. Their secondary structure includes four short double-helical elements and three loops (D, anti-codon, and T loops). The record is from Rfam by way of RNAcentral. RNAcentral also lists the same sequence under 1 other name. Lineage: Eukaryota; Metazoa; Chordata; Mammalia; Chiroptera; Pteropodidae.